Molecule: long non-coding RNA, 209 nt
Filed under: Gopherus agassizii (Agassiz's desert tortoise)
Lineage: Eukaryota; Metazoa; Chordata; Testudines; Testudinidae
Description: lncRNA (ENSGAGG00000018532.1)
Source: RNAcentral
AGGGGGUCCCAGCUGGGGCAGAGAGCGGGUCCCUUCCAGGGCUGGGGGGCCAGGAACCCCCUCGCUCUGACCCCACUCCUUCCUCCUCACAGGGUCUUUGAGUCCCUGAAGCAGGCCCGGGAAUCUGGCACCGAUGUGGACAGCCAUGGGAGCUACGUGAACAUCAACUCCGAGGAGGACUAUGUGAAUCUGCAGGGUGCCAAUGGGGG